GACGAACGCUGGCGGCGUGCUUAACACAUGCCAGUCGAACGGAAAGGCCUUGCUUUUGUUGUGGGCUCGAGUUGCUAACGUGUGGGUAACAUGUGUGUAACCUGCCCUUUAUGUUGGGAUAACUUCUGUAAACUUGGGCUACUACCUGUUAUUAGCUCCUGCUGCAUGGUGUGGUGUGUAUAGUUUCGGCGGAUGGGGUUGUAGUUGGGGCUUAUCGGGUUGGUGAUGGGGUAGUUGCUUAGCUAGGCGUUGACGGGGAGGCGGCCUGAUAGGGGGAACGGCGACAUGGGGAAGGAGAUAAGGCCCAGACUCAUACGGGAAGCAGCAGUGAGGAAUAGUGCACAAUGGGCGGAAGCCUGAUGCAGCAACGACGCGUGCGGGAUGACGGCCUUCGGGUUGUAAACAGCUUUCGCCUGUGACGAAGCGUGAGUGACGGUAAUGGGAGAAGAAGCACCGGCUAACUACGUG
This 468-nucleotide ribosomal RNA is filed under the name uncultured bacterium. RNAcentral's name for it is "partial 16S ribosomal RNA". It matches the Rfam family "Bacterial small subunit ribosomal RNA", at positions 28 to 507 of the family's 1533-position model. The record is from RNAcentral.